GUUCAGUGGCACAACGGGUCAAUGUGCCUGGCUGUUAACCAGAAGGUUGGUGGUUCGAGCCCACCGAGGGACG
This 73-nucleotide transfer RNA is filed under the name Podarcis lilfordi (Lilford's wall lizard). RNAcentral describes it as "tRNA.Asn". The stretch from base 7 to 65 matches the Rfam family "tRNA", at positions 8 to 63 of the family's 71-position model. Rfam says of the family: Transfer RNA (tRNA) molecules are approximately 80 nucleotides in length. Their secondary structure includes four short double-helical elements and three loops (D, anti-codon, and T loops). The record is from RNAcentral. Lineage: Eukaryota; Metazoa; Chordata; Lepidosauria; Squamata; Lacertidae.